GUGGGUUUAUUUAGUUGCUUCAGUUAAAGAAUGUCAAAAUGCAACUAUUGAACUUGUGGUUGUUGUCCGGCCAAAAAAAAAACUUCUGGUUGUUGCUUAUUUACUUAAGUAGGCUUUCGAAUUUCGAGUUGCUGGAUACAGUUGCUGUGAAAGUAUAAUAGGUUUUAUGAUUCUUAUAAUUCUCUACAGAUUCUCGGUAACUUCUUGCACA
RNAcentral lists this unclassified non-coding RNA (211 nucleotides) under Hevea brasiliensis (rubber tree). Lineage: Eukaryota; Viridiplantae; Streptophyta; Magnoliopsida; Malpighiales; Euphorbiaceae. The record is from RNAcentral.